Molecule: ribosomal RNA, 792 nt
Filed under: uncultured Pelagibacteraceae bacterium
Lineage: Bacteria; Pseudomonadati; Pseudomonadota; Alphaproteobacteria; Candidatus Pelagibacterales; Candidatus Pelagibacteraceae
Description: bacterial SSU rRNA
Rfam family: Bacterial small subunit ribosomal RNA
Source: RNAcentral
ACGCCUUAUACAUGCAAGUCGAACGCAGUAGCAAUACUGAGUGGCAGACGGGUGAGUAUAAUGUGGGAAUCUGCCUUUUGGUUUGGAAUAACUCGGGGAAACCUGAGCUAAUACUGGAUAAGCCCUUACGGGGAAAGCUUUACGCGCCAAAAGAUGAGCCCGCACUUGAUUAGCUUGUUGGUGAGGUAAAAGCUCACCAAGGCAACGAUCAAUAGCUGUUCUUAGAGGAAGACCAGCCACAUUGGGACUGAGACACGGCCCAGACUCCUACGGGAGGCAGCAGUAAGGAAUCUUGCACAAUGGGGGAAACCCUGAUGCAGCGAUGCCGCGUGAGUGAAGAAGGCCUUUGGGUUGUAAAACUCUUUCGUCGGGGAAGAAAAUGACUGUACCCGAAUAAGAAGGUCCGGCUAACUUCGUGCCAGCAGCCGCGGUAAUACGAAGGGACCUAGCGUAGUUCGGAAUUACUGGGCUUAAAGAGCUCGUAGGUGGUUAAAAAAGUUGGUGGUGAAAUCCCAAGGCUCAACCUUGGAACUGCCAUCAAAACUUUUUAGCUUGAGUAUGAUAGAGGAAAGUGGAAUUUCUAGUGUAGAGGUGAAAUUCGUAGAUAUUAGAAAGAACACCAAAUGCGAAGGCAACUUUCUGGAUCAUUACUGACACUGAGGAGCGAAAGCAUGGGUAGCGAAGAGGAUUAGAUACCCUCGUAGUCCAUGCUGUAAACGAUGUGUGCUAGACGUUGGAAAUUUAUUUUUCAGUGUCGCAGCAAAAGCGUUAAGCACACCGCCUGGGGAGUAC